This is a long non-coding RNA of Mesocricetus auratus (golden hamster), 1498 nucleotides long. RefSeq lists it as uncharacterized. The record is from RefSeq and is a predicted model, not a curated record. The transcript has 3 exons. NCBI's taxonomy places the organism in Eukaryota, Metazoa, Chordata, Mammalia, Rodentia, Cricetidae.
GAAAUAAAAAAUGCAUCUGCUCAUGCAUUUAUCACUUAGGAUGUGGGUGUGUCUGAGAUUCGGCUCUCUCCUUCCACCACGUUGAGUCCCGAGGACUGAACUCGGGUCGUCAGGCUUGGUGGCAAGCUCCUUUACCCACUGAGUCAUUUUGAUGGCCCCAGGAACUGGAAUUUCAAGGCUUGGGCAUGGCCAGCACAACACACCCACCGUGGGAAUCCUGAGAGAGUUCUAGUUGAAGCAGCCCUGCAGGCAUCUGCUGAGUGCUGAUCCCUACAAAGGCUCAAGGACUUCAGACAUGUUUGGGCACGGUUGCUGCCCCAGGAAGUCUCAUUCUUGAUGACCUUUAGUCUUCAGGACAUCUCUCCACUGCCAAACCCAGGGUCCAAUCCCUGUGAGUUCGCUGUAGGACCCAGAGAAUACAUCCCACUUCUGUGACAGACAGACUGCCCCGCUUGACUUACCCCCUGCAAAUGUGAGAGAGAACACUUAACCAGAAUCACGGUCACUACUCACCAUGCUCAGUCUCCCAAACAGCAAUUCAGGACGGCUGCUGAUAUCAACAGCCGGCCAGGAAAGUCAACUUUGCAUAAGGCUGCAGCCCUCCAAGGGGCCCUCCGAGUGGUAGACGGGGUUCCAUAGACUGCAGGGGGAAAGGCUACGGGGCUGGGGAAUGCAGUCCCUUUCCACAGCCCCUCUAUGCGACUUGCCAGGGCUAGCUUCUGUUGGACAAACCGGUUCUCGUUUCCAGCUUGCCUCCCAUGAGAGAGUCCAUGUCCCAGUAUCUUUUACUUAGCUCCAGAUGAGUCAGGAUCACAUACACGUUUAGAUUACAACUGGAAGAGUAACCAGCAUGGGAACAGUUAAUUGGGUUGCUUUGUAAGCUGCCUGUCAGCAUGCCUCACCAAGUGUUUUCCUCCUUCAUGUUUGCUGUCUCCUGGAGCCCAGGGGAGCAGGUGACUUCCAUGAACAAAGACUUCCCGGUACCCGGAGAGCCCUUCGUGGACGGAGCCCGAGAAAGCUCAGCCAUCAGCAGGCCGAGGUCACUGGCCUGCUCCAGGAAGCCGCCUGUUGGUCCUCUGUGUCCCUGUGCAACCUGCCCUCGCCUGUUCUGUGUUUAGUCUUGCUGUUUUCCCGGUGAGGAAGCUGGAGCUCAGAAGUUGAGACGACCACCACGCAGGCAUCCCACUGUGAACAGCACGGUAUCUGGGGGUUCUGAAGGCCAGCUCCCUGACUGGUGAUCAGCGGAGGCUGAGAAUGCGGUUGCUGUGCGGACUGUAAGAACCAGAGGGGAGCAGCUGGCACCAGCGCUGACUCACAGCAGGUGUAAUACGGGGCCGGCCAUGAAGGCUUAGAUGAAGGAUGGUGUCUUAGGUUUCUAUCACUGUGAAGAGACACCAUGACGACGACAACUCCUUUGAAGAAAAACAUUUAGGGCUGGAGAGAUGGCUCAGAGGGCUGGUUGUUUUUCCAGGGGUCCUGAGCUCAAUUCCCAGCAACC